RNAcentral lists this long non-coding RNA (3015 nucleotides) under Mus musculus (house mouse). RNAcentral's name for it is "long non-coding RNA chr10:7706863-7709878". Lineage: Eukaryota; Metazoa; Chordata; Mammalia; Rodentia; Muridae. The record is from RNAcentral.
GAUUUGAACUCUGGACCUUCGGAAGAGCAGUCGGGUGCUCUUACCCACUGAGCCAUCUCACCAGCCCAUUUUUGUUUCUUUUUGUUGUUGUUGUUUACUUGUUUAGUUUUUGAGGUUUCUCUGUGACAGUGUAUAUAUUUGUUUUCACUGCUACUUAGAGCAUACAGCCUGUUUAACUGUCACAUAACCUGUUUAACCCACUGAAGCAGAAUGAGGACAAAAGACUUAGGUGAAGCUGGGCGUGGUGGCGCAUGUCUUUAAUCCCAGCACUUGGGAGGCAGAGGCAGGCGGGUUUCUGAGUUCGAAGCCAGCCUGGUCUACAGAGUGAGUUCCAGGACAGCCAGGGCUACACAGAGAAACCCUGUCUCGCAACACACACACACACACACACACACACACACACUUAGGUGAAGUAACUUGUCCAAGGUCAGACAGAAGUUAAGUGUAAGGGCUAAGGCUUUGAAUCCAGGUUUGUCUGAUUACAGGGCCUAUGUUAUCUCCACCACACUGCCUCGACAAGAACUCUUCAAGCGCUAAUGGAAGUGUAAGUUGGUCUAAUGCUUGUUGAAUACUUACUGUAUCCUAGGUGCUUUACAUAAAUUCUAAUUUAGUGCUGACAGCAUCCUCUAAGGUACGUGUUAGCCUUCUGUGCGUCUGUGAACAUAGGCAGACUGACCUCUUUCUUUUUCAUGUAUUUCAUUGAGAGAAAGGGUUUCACUAUGCAGCACAGGCUAGUCUUGAAGUCACUAUUAAACGCAGUUAUCUGCCUCAGUGUUCCAAGUUCAGGAAUUAUAGGCACGUUCUUCCAUAGCCAGCACAUUGAAUGGAAUCAUUAACUAUCUCCAACAUUUAACUUCAUUACCUCUGAUUCUUCUCGAAUGUAGAAAUCCUAGGCUCUGUUCUAGACUUUAGAUUUAAGAAUGUUCUCUGGAAAAUGAGAAUUAUAUUUUAAUGAAAUUUCCCAGGAGAUUAUUACAACUAGGUUAAUUUCAGAUACUACAAAUAGUUUUAAAUACCCUAUAUAUUUAAUGAUUUUUGUGUCUCUAGAAAUGGUCUCUUCCUGUUUCCACGUGGAUCUUAUGUAGCUAUUAAAACUUAAAGAACUACCACAGCUGUCUGCUCAACUCCAUCCUCCUGUUCGAGAACAGUGGAGCACUGGCACUGCCCAGGUGGCUGAGGCGCUCUGCAGCUCCAUCCUUUCUGUCCUCAGCCAAGCUCCCUGUAGUGCCUAGUUGUAGUACCUAGUUGGCCUGCUGUUCUCCCUGGGGUCUGCUUUCCACGGCACAGUUGCAGUGUUCUCCUGCCGCGGCCUCCACACUGUGGGUCUUUUUUCCUCGGUCUGUCUCAGACCUUACAGUUCUCUUGUCUCUUUUCUGUGUAAAUGUGUGUCCCUUGCAUCUCUCCCGCAUUGAAUGUACUGGCCUGCCUUCUGUUGCUGUCUCUCUGUGGGAAGCCUUGUCCUCAUUUUCAUGGGACUGAGUUCUUGCCUUUUUUUUUACAUCCUAUCAAAUGUUACUUUCUCCUCCAUCUCCAUUGCCAUCCAGUCUAAUGUGACUGUCAAGUCACAUUUGUGAAGGAUACUCUGUGGUUUUUCUGUGUUCUCCAGGCUGGUCUUGAACACUUGGGUUCAAGUAAUCUUCCUGCCUCUGCUUUCUGUAUAGCUGUGACUGCAGGUCCAUGCCAUACCUUUGUGUUCAUGCCCUAGGGGCUGGCACCCAGGGCAUCUUCCAUGCUAAACACAAGGGCUUGUGUAUAUACAGUUCAUGUGUUUUCAUGGGCAUGUGUGGAGGCAGAGGUUUAUGUCAAGUGCCUUCCUUGAUGGUUAUCUUAAUUUUUACAGUUAUGUUUAUAUAUUUAUCUGUCUAUGGGCACAGUGUGUAUAUGCCAUAAUGUUUGGAGGUCAGAGGACAACUUGUGGUAGUUGGUUCUUCCUAUCUACCAUGAAGGUUCCAGAGAUCCAGUUCAGGUCAUCAGGCUUGGUGACAAGCCCCUUGACCAGCUGAGACAUGUCGACAGACCUUUUUUUUUUUUUUCCCCACCCUAUUUUUGAGACAGGGUACUGUACCUGGAACUAAUGAGUUUUGAUAGGCUAGCUGGACGGGAGUUCCAGGGGUCCACCCUGUCUCUGCCUUCCCUGGGGCGGGCUUAUGGCACUGGUUUUUACAGGGGUGUUAGGGGUCCUUAGGCGUCUGCAGCUAUCACUUUACUGACUGAGACUCUGCUUUUCUUUUUUUUUUUUUCAUUUCCCAUUUAAGCAACAACCAUCACCACCACAACAAAACAGAGCAAAAACAAAAACAAACCCAAAAACCACCGACCUUUAUUGUGUGUGUGUGUGUGUGUGUGUGUGUGUGUGUGUGUGUGUGUGUGUGUGGACAUCAGAGGACAAUUGCCACAGUUGCUUCUUCACCUAAGGAUUAAACUCGAGUCCUGAGGGACUAGCUGUCUUGCUGGUCUUCUUGGGUUUUUUGUUUGUUUGUUUGUUUGUUUGUUUUCGAGACAGGGUUUCUACGUAUAGCCCUGGCUGUCCUGGAACUUACUGUGUAGACCAGGCUGGCCUUGAACUCAGAAAUCUGCCUUCCUCUGCCUCCCAAGUGCUGGGAUUAAAGGCAUGAGCCCGGUUGUCCUCUUGUUUUUGAGAUAAGUUCUCUCUCUAUAAAGCUCUGACUUCCUGGAACUCAAUAUGUAGAUGAGGCUGGCCUUGAAAUCACAGAUGCCUCCUAAGUGCUGGGAUUAAAAUCAUGCUACAUAGCAAGGUUGAGGCCAGUCUGGGUUAUAAUGAGACAUGGUCUCAAAAAAAAAAAAAAAAAGUUAGAGCUCAAGACAUGGCUCAGCAGCUGAGAGUACACACUCCUCUUGCUGGGGACCUGAGUGUUUAGUUCCCAGCACCCAUGUAGUUAGAGCACACCUGCCUGUAUCUCCAGUUCCAAGCAGACCUGACCCUGCUACUUCUCCGGGCACUGUACACACUCAUGUGCAUAUACCCGUAUGUAUACACAUAAUGAAGGCAUCUUC